ACUUGGAUCAGAAAAACCGGGUACGGUAACCGACCCAUGAAAACAAAAGCAAGUAGCUAGCUAGCUAGGGUUUCUUUCACUAUAAACAGACAUUCCUAAUUGAAUUCCCUUCACUUGCUUUCGGAAGUCCAGUCGUCGUCACCAUGAGAGCCAAGUGGAAGAAGAAGAGAAUGAGGAGGUUGAAGAGGAAGCGCCGAAAGAUGAGACAACGAUCCAAGUAGAUGAUGAUGCUUUCAUGUCGGUGUUGAUUUACCCUUUUCGUUUAUGUUUUGAUACUCGCUUAUCUUCUACGAAUUAUGUAGUGCUAUUUGGUUAUGGAGUUUUCUCUGUUUGCUUACUAUAUCAGCUCUUCUUCACAUUAAUUGUCUCAAAUGUUAUUGAUGUUU
Molecule: long non-coding RNA, 386 nt
Organism: Helianthus annuus (common sunflower)
Lineage: Eukaryota; Viridiplantae; Streptophyta; Magnoliopsida; Asterales; Asteraceae
Exons: 2
Source: RefSeq, a predicted model, not a curated record